UUUCCCUAUACGCUGCGGCAGGCCUAACACAUGCAAGUCGAGCGGAUGAAGGGAGCUUGCUCCCGGAUUCAGCGGCGGACGGGGUGAGUAAUGCCUAGGAAUCUGCCUGGUAGUGGGGGACAACGUUCCGAAAGGAGCGCUAAUACCGCAUACGUCCUACGGGAGAAAGUGGGGGAUCUUCGGACCUCACGCUAUCAGAUGAGCCUAGGUCGGAUUAGCUAGUAGGUGGGGUAAUGGCUCACCUAGGCGACGAUCCGUAACUGGUCUGAGAGGAUGAUCAGUCACACUGGAACUGAGACACGGUCCAGACUCCUACGGGAGGCAGCAGUGGGGAAUAUUGGACAAUGGGCGAAAGCCUGAUCCAGCCAUGCCGCGUGUGUGAAGAAGGUCUUCGGAUUGUAAAGCACUUUAAGUUGGGAGGAAGGGCAGUAAGUUAAUACCUUGCUGUUUUGACGUUACCAACAGAAUAAGCACCGGCUAACUUCGUGCCAGCAGCCGCGGUAAUACGAAGGGUGCAAGCGUUAAUCGGAAUUACUGGGCGUAAAGCGCGCGUAGGUGGUUUGGUAAGAUGGAUGUGAAAUCCCCGGGCUCAACCUGGGAACUGCAUCCAUAACUGCCUGACUAGAGUACGGUAGAGGGUGGUGGAAUUUCCUGUGUAGCGGUGAAAUGCGUAGAUAUAGGAAGGAACACCAGUGGCGAAGGCGACCACCUGGACUGAUACUGACACUGAGGUGCGAAAGCGUGGGGAGCAAACAGGAUUAGAUACCCUGGUAGUCCACGCCGUAAACGAUGUCGACUAGCCGUUGGGAUCCUNGAGAUACUUAGUGGCGCAGCUAACGCGAUAAGUCGACCGCCCUGGGNNNACGCGCCGCNCAA
Molecule: ribosomal RNA, 876 nt
Filed under: Pseudomonas citronellolis
Lineage: Bacteria; Pseudomonadati; Pseudomonadota; Gammaproteobacteria; Pseudomonadales; Pseudomonadaceae
Description: bacterial SSU rRNA
Rfam family: Bacterial small subunit ribosomal RNA
Source: RNAcentral